GAUGAACGCUGGCGGCGUGCCUAAUACAUGCAAGUCGAGCGAACGGACGAGAAGCUUGCUUCUCUGAUGUUAGCGGCGGACGGGUGAGUAACACGUGGAUAACCUACCUAUAAGACUGGGAUAACUUCGGGAAACCGGAGCUAAUACCGGAUAAUAUUUUGAACCGCAUGGUUCAAAAGUGAAAGACGGUCUUGCUGUCACUUAUAGAUGGAUCCGCGCUGCAUUAGCUAGUUGGUAAGGUAACGGCUUACCAAGGCAACGAUGCAUAGCCGACCUGAGAGGGUGAUCGGCCACACUGGAACUGAGACACGGUCCAGACUCCUACGGGAGGCAGCAGUAGGGAAUCUUCCGCAAUGGGCGAAAGCCUGACGGAGCAACGCCGCGUGAGUGAUGAAGGUCUUCGGAUCGUAAAACUCUGUUAUUAGGGAAGAACAUAUGUGUAAGUAACUGUGCACAUCUUGACGGUACCUAAUCAGAAAGCCACGGCUAACUACGUGCCAGCAGCCGCGGUAAUACGUAGGUGGCAAGCGUUAUCCGGAAUUAUUGGGCGUAAAGCGCGCGUAGGCGGUUUUUUAAGUCUGAUGUGAAAGCCCACGGCUCAACCGUGGAGGGUCAUUGGAAACUGGAAAACUUGAGUGCAGAAGAGGAAAGUGGAAUUCCAUGUGUAGCGGUGAAAUGCGCAGAGAUAUGGAGGAACACCAGUGGCGAAGGCGACUUUCUGGUCUGUAACUGACGCUGAUGUGCGAAAGCGUGGGGAUCAAACAGGAUUAGAUACCCUGGUAGUCCACGCCGUAAACGAUGAGUGCUAAGUGUUAGGGGGUUUCCGCCCCUUAGUGCUGCAGCUAACGCAUUAAGCACUCCGCCUGGGGAGUACGACCGCAAGGUUGAAACUCAAAGGAAUCGACGGGGACCCGCACAAGCGGUGGAGCAUGUGGUUUAAUUCGAAGCAACGCGAAGAACCUUACCAAAUCUUGACAUCCUUUGACAACUCUAGAGAUAGAGCCUUCCCCUUCGGGGGACAAAGUGACAGGUGGUGCAUGGUUGUCGUCAGCUCGUGUCGUGAGAUGUUGGGUUAAGUCCCGCAACGAGCGCAACCCUUAAGCUUAGUUGCCAUCAUUAAGUUGGGCACUCUAAGUUGACUGCCGGUGACAAACCGGAGGAAGGUGGGGAUGACGUCAAAUCAUCAUGCCCCUUAUGAUUUGGGCUACACACGUGCUACAAUGGACAAUACAAAGGGCAGCGAAACCGCGAGGUCAAGCAAAUCCCAUAAAGUUGUUCUCAGUUCGGAUUGUAGUCUGCAACUCGACUACAUGAAGCUGGAAUCGCUAGUAAUCGUAGAUCAACAUGCUACGGUGAAUACGUUCCCGGGUCU
Molecule: ribosomal RNA, 1372 nt
Filed under: uncultured bacterium
Lineage: Bacteria
Description: bacterial SSU rRNA
Rfam family: Bacterial small subunit ribosomal RNA
Source: RNAcentral